GAGGGUAUAGCUCAGUGGUAGAGUGUGUGCUUAGCAUGCAUGAGGUCCUGGGUUCAAUCCCUAGUACUUCUA
This 72-nucleotide transfer RNA is filed under the name Camelus bactrianus (Bactrian camel). It matches the Rfam family "tRNA". From Rfam's summary of the family: Transfer RNA (tRNA) molecules are approximately 80 nucleotides in length. Their secondary structure includes four short double-helical elements and three loops (D, anti-codon, and T loops). The record is from Rfam by way of RNAcentral. RNAcentral also lists the same sequence under 3 other names. Lineage: Eukaryota; Metazoa; Chordata; Mammalia; Artiodactyla; Camelidae.